UCCGAGUUGACCCCGGCAGUCUCCUAUGAGUCCCCACCAUCACGUGCUGGCAACAUAGAACGAGGGUUGCGCUCGUUGCGGGACUUAACCCAACAUCUCACGACACGAGCUGACGACAACCAUGCACCACCUAUCGCAGGCCCCGAAGGACACCGUAUCUCUACGGCUUUUCCUGCGUAGUUCAACCCAGGUAAGGUUCUUCGCGUUGCCUCGAAUUAAGCCACGCGCUCCGCUGCUUGUGCGGGCCCCCGUCAAUUCCUUUGAGUUUUAACCUUGCGGCCGUACUCCCCAGGCGGAGUGCUUAAUGCGUUAGCUGCGACACCGAAGCCCUAAGGGCCCCAACGUCUAGCACUCAUCGUUUACGGCGUGGACUAC
RNAcentral lists this unclassified non-coding RNA (375 nucleotides) under uncultured bacterium. RNAcentral describes it as "contains 16S-23S intergenic spacer region". The record is from RNAcentral.